RNAcentral lists this ribosomal RNA (557 nucleotides) under uncultured bacterium. RNAcentral describes it as "bacterial SSU rRNA". It matches the Rfam family "Bacterial small subunit ribosomal RNA", at positions 1 to 560 of the family's 1533-position model. The record is from RNAcentral.
UUGGGAGCUAACCCAUAUGGUCGACCUGCAGGCGGCCGCGAAUUCACUAGUGAUUAGAGUUUGAUCAUGGCUCAGAGCGAACGCUGGCGGCAGGCUUAACACAUGCAAGUCGAGCGGGCGUAGCAAUACGUCAGCGGCAGACGGGUGAGUAACGCGUGGGAACAUACCUUUUGGUUCGGAACAACACAGGGAAACUUGUGCUAAUACCGGAUAAGCCCUUACGGGGAAAGAUUUAUCGCCGAAAGAUCGGCCCGCGUCUGAUUAGCUAGUUGGUGUGGUAACGGCGCACCAAGGCGACGAUCAGUAGCUGGUCUGAGAGGAUGAUCAGCCACAUUGGGACUGAGACACGGCCCAAACUCCUACGGGAGGCAGCAGUGGGGAAUAUUGGACAAUGGGCGCAAGCCUGAUCCAGCCAUGCCGCAUGAGUGAUGAAGGCCCUAGGGUUGUAAAGCUCUUUUGUGCGGGAAGAUAAUGACGGUACCGCAAGAAUAAGCCCCGGCUAACUUCGUGCCAGCAGCCGCGGUAAUACGAAUCGAAUUCCCGCGGCCGCCAUGGCG